CUACGGGAGGCAGCAGUGGGGAAUAUUGGACAAUGGGGGAAACCCUGAUCCAGCAAUGCCGCGUGUGUGAAGAAGGCCUGCGGGUUGUAAAGCACUUUCGGUUGGGAGGACUGCUUCUAGCACUAAUAUUGUUGGAAGUUGACGUUACCUUCAGAAGAAGCACCGGCUAACUCCGUGCCAGUGGCCGCGGUAAUGACGGAGGGUGCAAGCGUUAAUCGGAAUUACUGGGCGUAAAGCGCGCGUAGGCGGCUAGAUCAGUCGGGUGUGAAAGCCCCGGGCUUAACCUGGGAACUGCAUCCGAUACUGUCUAGCUUGAGUACAGGAGAGGAGAGUGGAAUUCCACAUGUAGCGGUGAAAUGCGUAGAUAUGUGGAGGAACACCAAUGGCGAAGGCAGCUCUCUGGCCUGAUACUGACGCUGAGGUGCGAAAGCGUGGGGAGCAAACAGGAUUAGAUACCCCGGUAGUC
RNAcentral lists this ribosomal RNA (466 nucleotides) under uncultured bacterium. Its description in RNAcentral is "partial 16S ribosomal RNA". It matches the Rfam family "Bacterial small subunit ribosomal RNA", at positions 339 to 795 of the family's 1533-position model. The record is from RNAcentral.